This is a long non-coding RNA of Ruditapes philippinarum (Manila clam), 270 nucleotides long. RefSeq lists it as uncharacterized. NCBI's taxonomy places the organism in Eukaryota, Metazoa, Mollusca, Bivalvia, Venerida, Veneridae. The transcript is spliced from 3 exons. The record is from RefSeq and is a predicted model, not a curated record.
CAAAUGGAGGUUUUGUAACUUCCGGGAAAACACGGGAAAAUGAGAAAUAGUUCUCAAGUUAUGCAACCUAAUCCAUUUGAUGCUAUAACCUGAUAAUUUUCAUAUGAGUGAAAAUCGUUUGAAUGUAGGAUUCAACUGACAUGAUAUAAAUAUCAACCUUUGAAAUACUCCUAGAAAAAAAAGAAUCUCUUUGUUAUUUUAAAUAGUGCAAUAUGUCUCGACUCCUGCCAGCUACUAAUAAUGACGACUCUUCGGAGAAAGAGCGUCUUU